AUUGAACGCUGGCGGCAGGCCUAACACAUGCAAGUCGAGCGGAUGAAGGGUGCUUGCUCCUGGCUUCAGCGGCGGACGGGUGUGUAAUGCCUAGGAAUCUGCCUGGUAGUGGGGGAUAACGUCCGGAAACGGGCGCUACUACCGCAUACGUCCUGUGGGAGAACGUGGGGGAUCUUCGGACCUCACGCUAUCAGAUGAGCCUAGGUGGGAUUAGCUAGUUGGUGGGGUAAAGGCCUACCAAGGCGACGAUCCGUAACUGGUCUGAGAGGAUGAUCAGUCACAGGGGAACGGAGACACGGGCCAGAAUCGGACGGGAGGCAGGAGUGGGGAAUAUUGGAGAAGGGGCGGAAGGAGGAACCAGGCAAGGGGCGGAAGUGAAAAAGGGCUACGGAUUGUGAAGCACGAUAAGUUGGGAGGAAGGGCAGUAAGUUAAUAACGAGCUGAAAUGACGGUACCAAAAGAAUAAGCACCGGCUAACUACGUG
This 484-nucleotide ribosomal RNA is filed under the name uncultured bacterium. Its description in RNAcentral is "partial 16S ribosomal RNA". It matches the Rfam family "Bacterial small subunit ribosomal RNA", at positions 29 to 507 of the family's 1533-position model. The record is from RNAcentral.